RNAcentral lists this ribosomal RNA (253 nucleotides) under uncultured bacterium. RNAcentral's name for it is "partial 16S ribosomal RNA". It matches the Rfam family "Bacterial small subunit ribosomal RNA", at positions 524 to 776 of the family's 1533-position model. The record is from RNAcentral.
UACGGAGGGUGCAAGCGUUGUCCGGAUUUAUUGGGUUUAAAGGGUGCGUAGGCGGCCCUGUAAGUCAGUGGUGAAAUACUGCAGCUUAACUGUAGCAUUGCCAUUGAUACUGCAGGGCUUGAGUACAGAUGAGGUAGGCGGAAUUGAUGGUGUAGCGGUGAAAUGCAUAGAUACCAUCAAGAACACCGAGUGCGAAGGCAGCUUACUAAGCUGUAACUGACGCUGAGGCACGAAAGCGUGGGGAUCGAACAGG